This 433-nucleotide ribosomal RNA is filed under the name uncultured bacterium. Its description in RNAcentral is "partial 16S ribosomal RNA". It matches the Rfam family "Bacterial small subunit ribosomal RNA", at positions 29 to 507 of the family's 1533-position model. The record is from RNAcentral.
AACGAACGCUGGCGGCAUGCCUAACACAUGCAAGUCGAACGAGACCUUCGGGUCUAGUGGCGCACGGGUGCGUAACGCGUGGGAACCUGCCCUUAGGUUCGGAAUAACUCCCCGAAAGGGGUGCUAAUACCGGAUAAUGUCUUCGGACCAAAGAUUUAUCGCCUUUGGAUGGGCCCGCGUUGGAUUAGCUAGUUGGUAGGGUAAAAGCCUACCAAGGCGACGAUCCAUAGCUGGUCUGAGAGGAUGAUCAGCCACACUGGGACUGAGACACGGCCCAGACUGCUACGGGAGGCAGCAGUGGGGAAUAUUGGACAAUGGGGGAAAGCGUGAUCCAGCAAUGCGGCGUGAGUGAUGAAGGCCUUAGGGUUGUAAAGCUCUUUUACCCGGGAUGAUAAUGACAGUACCGGGAGAAUAAGCUCCGGCUAACUCCGUG